Molecule: unclassified non-coding RNA, 252 nt
Filed under: uncultured Gammaproteobacteria bacterium
Lineage: Bacteria; Pseudomonadati; Pseudomonadota; Gammaproteobacteria
Description: partial 16S-23S ribosomal RNA intergenic spacer
Rfam family: Bacterial large subunit ribosomal RNA (bases 128-252)
Source: RNAcentral
CCUCCUUACGGAUGGCAUUCAUACGAGUGACUAAAUCUUUUCAAUUAACGAAUGAUCUAUUAAAGAACAAUUUGCGAAACUGCAAUAAUAUAUUUCAAAGAACAAAGAGUUAACUUUGAGGUUACUUAUUCAAGUAAUUAAGUGCUAAAGGCGGAUGCCUUGGCAUCUAGAGGCGAUGAAGGACGUUGUAACUUGCGAUAAGCCCCGGCGAGCCAGUACACAGGCUAUGACCCGAGGAUUUCCGAAUGGGGA